UCUCUGGACCAGGAGACCAGCACCUUGGACAGAGCAGUGCUGGGGAAGGGCAGAAGGAGCUGGGGAGCUCCAGCCAAGGAAAACCCCAGGCUGUGGGCCUUGCUACAAAGGGCCAAGUGGAUGCACAGGGCCAAAGGGGAAGCAGCCCAGGGACAAAGUCUGACUAGGGGAGAGAAGGAGGGCUGGGAGGCUGUUGCUAGAGGGUCUCUGGGUUGGGAUCCAGAGUAGUGGGUGGGCCUGGGUCCCCACCUUCCCUCUUGUACUACACCUGGCUGAGGAGAAGCAUGGCCUGACACAGGCUGUGGCUGGCCCCUGUGACAAAGGGGCUAGACUUUUAGGCUGCAACCGGCCACUAGAACAGGUCCAGACAGAGGACUGCUGAUAACACCAGACCCCUGGAAGGGGGUGAGACUAGAGCAGUGAGCACUGCCGGAGGGCAGCGUCCUAAAGAGGACGCUGCUGAACGGGGAGCAACGGAGGUCCAGACACCAACAGGGGAGCAGACACCACUGGCAGACGGUGCCCUGCCAAGGGCAGAGCUAAUUCCCAGAUGUGCCAGCGGGAGGCGCUGUGGUGAACACCAAAUAUGUGCCAAGUGCUUCACAGACAGAGAUGAAGACUGGUUGCCUGCCCUGAACAGUUUACAGUCUUAAUGGACAACAUACAGGUCACUUCACUCGAUUAGAAGCAAUACUAUAGCAAAUCAUAUAACUCACUAAUUGGCAUUAGUGAAGGAAGACCCCAUUUCCAUGAUGGUACAGUAGCCAAUUGAACAAGAAACUAUUAUAUUGUCUGUUACUGGCAGAUUGCCUUAUCACU
Mauremys reevesii (Reeves's turtle) is the source of this 819-nucleotide long non-coding RNA. RefSeq lists it as uncharacterized. Lineage: Eukaryota; Metazoa; Chordata; Testudines; Geoemydidae. The transcript is spliced from 3 exons. The record is from RefSeq and is a predicted model, not a curated record.